CUUAUCUUCCCUUUCUCGUCCUAGAAAUGGAAAAAUCACAGUGCAUGUGUGAAGUACACAGCUUUUAUAGUGUUUAUUUAUGUGCAAAGAAUUAAUUCAAAGGUUGUUUUUAGUUAUAUCUUUCCAAAAUCGGCAAUAAUUUCUUUUCCUUUUGUUUUUCUUCAAAAUUACUUAGUCAAAAUUGAUUAUUAUUGUUUGAUUUUUGUUGUAUUGUGUUCAUUUGCUUGAUUUCCAUUGGUUGGGGGAUGAAGGGUUUGGAUUGAGUCGAUUAAGGCUCAGAUCUGGCCGUUCAUUUUUUGAUAAGUGGUUUAAGCCAUAGAUUUGCUUUGUAAGUUCAUUUUCUAGGAAAGAUUGUUUGUCUCACAUCGAUGUUUGGAAGGUUUGAACAAUUUUUACCAAUAGAGGGGGUCGAAAAAAAUAUUGGGAAAAAUUCAAGAAGGCUAGAAACAUUGAAUUCAAGCCUCUUAAGUAUAAAAAAUUUAAGACUUCGACUUAGUCUGAGGUUUUCUGAGUUCUAAAAAUUUGUUUCUUUUCUUGUUUUCGAGUCUGUGUGGCUGAGCGUGGUUUUGGAAGCACAAAUGGCUUUCAAGUUCGAUUUUGACCACGGCUGCACUUUUAAAAGUUGUUUUGGAGGAAGGAGCCCUUGUUUCAUCAAUUUGAUCAUAUAUCCAAGUGAAGAAGACUAGAGAAAAAGAUUUUGGUCGAAACGGGGAGUGAGCUUGGAUAGGUGUAUAAAGCCAAAAAGGUACCGACGACAGGUUUGCUGAUCCGUCCGCUUAGGAUCUUAUUCUGCUAUUUUGGAGCGCUCUUUUAUUCAGAGCCAUCUUUUGGUAUAGUCUGUCACUUCUAUAUAUGUAUAUUCUCGUUCAUGGGUACGGCGGGGCCCUGUCCCGUCAUAUGAUUCUGUCGGUCUGUUUAGAGGUCUGUGGACAUGUUUGUGGGUUGGGGUCUUUCUGUACAGAUGUAUGUAUAUGUCGUGUUUGGGCGAUUCCAUUCGCCGCGGCGGCCGGUCCGCAUAUGUUAAAUGCUGCUUUUGUCGGCCCUGUGUGGCCUUUGUUGGUAUUUUUUGCGUGCAGGGUAUAUUGGAUAGUCC
Molecule: long non-coding RNA, 1093 nt
Organism: Lycium barbarum (goji berry)
Lineage: Eukaryota; Viridiplantae; Streptophyta; Magnoliopsida; Solanales; Solanaceae
Exons: 4
Source: RefSeq, a predicted model, not a curated record